RNAcentral lists this unclassified non-coding RNA (218 nucleotides) under Hevea brasiliensis (rubber tree). Lineage: Eukaryota; Viridiplantae; Streptophyta; Magnoliopsida; Malpighiales; Euphorbiaceae. The record is from RNAcentral.
GUUUUCAGCUUGGAAGUGCUAUUGGACUUACCUUUUCUCCUAUACUUAUGUCACAAGGUGGCCUAUUUGGACCAUUUGUGAUAUUUGGCUUGUCCGGAUUCCUAUGGGUUUUAGUGUGGGUUUCUGCUACCUCUAGUACUCCUGAACAUAGUCGGCAAAUAUCCAUUCAUGAAUUGAGGUAUAUACAGAACAAAGGGCAGAUACACAAUAUCGUUGAG